Molecule: unclassified non-coding RNA, 383 nt
Filed under: uncultured fungus
Lineage: Eukaryota; Fungi
Description: partial contains small subunit ribosomal RNA, internal transcribed spacer 1, and 5.8S ribosomal RNA
Rfam family: Eukaryotic small subunit ribosomal RNA (bases 1-73)
Source: RNAcentral
GCAAACUUGGUCAUUUAGAGGAAGUAAAAGUCGUAACAAGGUCAUCGUAGGUGAACCUGCGGUGGGAUCAUCAAUAAUCUACCAAAACAACAAACAAAAUGGUGUGAAAAUUGAGUGUUUUUAAACUGUAUUCUCUCGAUGUAGGGUACAAAUUUAUUUGGGAUUCCUUAGGGAAACCCGGGUACUUUUAACUCUAUGUUGUUUGAACAACUUGCACUUUUCAACAGUGUCAAUUCUAUCUUAUGGCCAAAACCAUAUAACAAACCUAAAAAUUUUAUUUUACUCGUAUUCAUUUCCUAACAGAUUUGAUUUUGAGAAAGAAAAAUUCAUAUAAAACUAUUAAUGGUGGAUCACUUGGCUCUCGCAUCGAUGAAGAACGCAGC